AUCCAACUGACGAGUCGCAAAUAGGGCGAAACUCGCGUCUUAGAU
Molecule: non-coding RNA, 45 nt
Organism: Schistosoma rodhaini
Lineage: Eukaryota; Metazoa; Platyhelminthes; Trematoda; Strigeidida; Schistosomatidae
Source: Rfam